GAUGAACGCUGGCGGCGUGCCUAAUACAUGCAAGUAGAACGCUGAAGCUUGGUGCUUGCACCGAGCGGAUGAGUUGCGAACGGGUGAGUAACGCGUAGGUAACCUGCCUGGUAGCGGGGGAUAACUAUUGGAAACGAUAGCUAAUACCGCAUAACAGUCGACAUUGCAUGAUGUUGAUUUGAAAGGGGCAAUUGCUCCACUACCAGAUGGACCUGCGUUGUAUUAGCUAGUUGGUGAGGUAACGGCUCACCAAGGCGACGAUACAUAGCCGACCUGAGAGGGUGAUCGGCCACACUGGGACUGAGACACGGCCCAGACUCCUACGGGAGGCAGCAGUAGGGAAUCUUCGGCAAUGGACGGAAGUCUGACCGAGCAACGCCGCGUGAGUGAAGAAGGUUUUCGGAUCGUAAAGCUCUGUUGUAAGAGAAGAACGAGUGUGAGAGUGGAAAGUUCACACUGUGACGGUAACUUACCAGAAAGGGACGGCUAACUACGUGCCAGCAGCCGCGGUAAUACGUAGGUCCCGAGCGUUAUCCGGAUUUAUUGGGCGUAAAGCGAGCGCAGGCGGUUAGAUAAGUCUGAAGUUAAAGGCUGUGGCUUAACCAUAGUACGCUUUGGAAACUGUUUAACUUGAGUGCAGAAGGGGAGAGUGGAAUUCCAUGUGUAGCGGUGAAAUGCGUAGAUAUAUGGAGGAACACCGGUGGCGAAAGCGGCUCUCUGGUCUGUAACUGA
RNAcentral lists this ribosomal RNA (732 nucleotides) under uncultured Bacilli bacterium. Its description in RNAcentral is "bacterial SSU rRNA". It matches the Rfam family "Bacterial small subunit ribosomal RNA", at positions 28 to 743 of the family's 1533-position model. Lineage: Bacteria; Bacillati; Bacillota; Bacilli. The record is from RNAcentral.